UACCUGGAUCUACUAAGAUCCACUGAUCUCUGUCCACCAAAAAAUCU
Non-coding RNA from Picea glauca (white spruce), 47 nucleotides. NCBI's taxonomy places the organism in Eukaryota, Viridiplantae, Streptophyta, Pinopsida, Pinales, Pinaceae. The record is from Rfam.